This 780-nucleotide ribosomal RNA is filed under the name Lactiplantibacillus plantarum. Its description in RNAcentral is "bacterial SSU rRNA". It matches the Rfam family "Bacterial small subunit ribosomal RNA", at positions 86 to 860 of the family's 1533-position model. The record is from RNAcentral. Lineage: Bacteria; Bacillati; Bacillota; Bacilli; Lactobacillales; Lactobacillaceae.
UUUGAGUGAGUGGCGAACUGGUGAGUAACACGUGGGAAACCUGCCCAGAAGCGGGGGAUAACACCUGGAAACAGAUGCUAAUACCGCAUAACAACUUGGACCGCAUGGUCCGAGUUUGAAAGAUGGCUUCGGCUAUCACUUUUGGAUGGUCCCGCGGCGUAUUAGCUAGAUGGUGGGGUAACGGCUCACCAUGGCAAUGAUACGUAGCCGACCUGAGAGGGUAAUCGGCCACAUUGGGACUGAGACACGGCCCAAACUCCUACGGGAGGCAGCAGUAGGGAAUCUUCCACAAUGGACGAAAGUCUGAUGGAGCAACGCCGCGUGAGUGAAGAAGGGUUUCGGCUCGUAAAACUCUGUUGUUAAAGAAGAACAUAUCUGAGAGUAACUGUUCAGGUAUUGACGGUAUUUAACCAGAAAGCCACGGCUAACUACGUGCCAGCAGCCGCGGUAAUACGUAGGUGGCAAGCGUUGUCCGGAUUUAUUGGGCGUAAAGCGAGCGCAGGCGGUUUUUUAAGUCUGAUGUGAAAGCCUUCGGCUCAACCGAAGAAGUGCAUCGGAAACUGGGAAACUUGAGUGCAGAAGAGGACAGUGGAACUCCAUGUGUAGCGGUGAAAUGCGUAGAUAUAUGGAAGAACACCAGUGGCGAAAGCGGCUGUCUGGUCUGUAACUGACGCUGAGGCUCGAAAGUAUGGGUAGCAACAGGAUUAGAUACCCUGGUAGUCCAUACCGUAACGAUGAUGCUAGUGUGAGGUUUCGGCCCUCAGUGCUGCAGCUACGCAU